Molecule: non-coding RNA, 1126 nt
Organism: Onthophagus taurus
Lineage: Eukaryota; Metazoa; Arthropoda; Insecta; Coleoptera; Scarabaeidae
Source: RefSeq, a predicted model, not a curated record
CAAAGAAAGCUUCAAUUUCUUCCUUUGACAGUUUAAUUAAAUUAGUUAGGUUAUAAUCAACAAAUAUCGCGAAAAAGAAACGAUUCUACUUAAGAAAAUGGAAAUAUUAUUGAGUUAAAAUCAUGUGGGGAACGAUUACGCCACAAUAAAUCGUUAAAAAUAGGCGAACUUGUGACAUCAAGAUCAUUCAGUUUAUUUAUUGAUGGCGCCACCAAAGGAAGCUUCAAUUUCUUCCUUUGACAGUUUAAAUAAAUUAGUUAGGUUAUAAUCAACAAAUAUCGCGAAAAAUAAACGAUUCUACGUAAGAAAAUGGAAAUAUUAUUGAGUUAAGAUCAUGCGGGGAACGAUUACGCGACAAUAAAUCGUUAAAAAUAGGUGAACUUGUGACAUCAAGAUCAUUCAGUUUAUUUAUUGGUAAGAUUUUCUUUCAUUGUUUUUUUAAUAACUCAUACACGUAAGAUUAAUAAAACUAGAGUGUAGGAAGGUGUUAAUUCACAUACGAUUCCAGUUUUGACUUGACUUAUCUAAAAUUAAGUUUUUAAGUUAUAAUUGGCAAAGAUACAAACCAUAAUAAUUUAUUUGUAUUUCAAAAGAUGGCGCCACCAAAGAAAGCUUCAAUUUCUUCCUUUGACAGUUUAAAUAAAUUAGUUAGGUUGUAAUCAACAAAUACCGCGUAAAAGAAACGAUUCUACUUAAAAAAAUGGAAAUAUUAUUGAGUUAAGGUCAUGUGGGGAACAAUUAUGCGAUAAUAAAUCGUUAAAAAUAGGCGAACUUGUGACAUCAAGAUCAUUCAGUUUAUUUAUUGGUUAUUAUUGGAAAAAAUGUAAACCAUAAUAAUUUAUUAAUAUAUCAAAAGAUGGCGCCACAGAGAAAACUCUUCAAAUUCUUCAUUUGACAAAUUAGAUAAAUUAAUUAGAUUAUAAUCAACAAAUAUCGGUAAAAAAACGAUUCCACGGAAGAAAAUGGAAAUAUUGAUGUCUGUCAAGAUUAGCCAUUCUAAGUCCUAUAAAAUUUGGAAUUCUGAAGAUUCAAAAUGGUCUAGAGUGAAAACAAGAAGAAAAUAUAAAAUUAUAAAGGAAACCUUGUUACUUUUGGAAUCAUAAAUAUUUCCAUAACAAUCUCUAAA